Molecule: long non-coding RNA, 770 nt
Organism: Gadus macrocephalus (Pacific cod)
Lineage: Eukaryota; Metazoa; Chordata; Actinopteri; Gadiformes; Gadidae
Exons: 2
Source: RefSeq, a predicted model, not a curated record
CAUGGUCGGACAUUACAGUUUUUUCCUAUCGUUUUCGGUCAUGUACCCAUACUAUGGUCACUUUUCCCUAUCACUUAACACAGUGGGCUUUAGAGACACACACCUCUGCAUAUCUGUUAACCUUUGGUGCAAAAUGCACUACAACAACCACACCACAAACAAUGCUGCCAUAACUUAACACAUGUUUCCUCUCAGAACACUAUGACCUAAAAAACACUAACAUCUUGAAGCAUUGCCAAUUGCAUAUAUAAAAUGUUGCUGUGUCCUCCAGUUUGGCAUAGAUUUCCUGUAGUGUUGCAUUGAAAAAAAGAGAAAAAACACAGACAAACACUUCUUUGGACUACAGUAAUAAAGUUUGUAAUAUUACAGUAUGACAAUCCAAGCCAAGUAUCUGCUGACAGUGUUCAUAUGUCGGUUUACCUCCCACAAAAGAUGUCACAAUUGAGUGUGGUAAAUGUACUGUAAUUGUAAAUACAGUAAAUUACAGUAAAGUAAAGUGUUUUAUGAGAAACUGAGAAUAACAAUUUUCAGUUUUUGUAAUGCAAAUUACAUACAGUAAGUACGUAAUAUAUGAUCCAGAAACAAAUCACAAACACAACAGUUUUUUUCACUGUGCUUUACUUUUUGGAGAUUUUGUCACAGUGCAAGUGUUACACAAAACAGAAAAUACAUUACAAAAUCAUUGUAUGUAGUGUUGCUUUUACGUAAAAAAAGUAAUUCCAUGCCAAUUCACCAAGAACUAUGGUGCACAGGGGGAAAAAAAUCUAAAU